Molecule: non-coding RNA, 45 nt
Organism: Dipodomys ordii (Ord's kangaroo rat)
Lineage: Eukaryota; Metazoa; Chordata; Mammalia; Rodentia; Heteromyidae
Source: Rfam
CAAUGGGUUUCUUUAGAAACCAACAAUAUCUAAUAAUAAAUAUCA